CUCCAAUUCCUCAGGGUGUUU
This 21-nucleotide non-coding RNA is filed under the name Arabidopsis thaliana (thale cress). Lineage: Eukaryota; Viridiplantae; Streptophyta; Magnoliopsida; Brassicales; Brassicaceae. The record is from RNAcentral.